Molecule: long non-coding RNA, 2455 nt
Organism: Alligator mississippiensis (American alligator)
Lineage: Eukaryota; Metazoa; Chordata; Crocodylia; Alligatoridae
Exons: 4
Source: RefSeq, a predicted model, not a curated record
CUCGGCCCUGGGUGACAGCAGCCGCGCACAUUCUGCCCUGCGGGCACUGUGGGCUCUGCACCGCAUGAUCCACCCUGCUGUUGGAGAGCAGUGGAGGGUCAAGAUUCCCAUCCUGCUCUCGACUAUUGAAGCUUCAGGAAAUCCUGAGACCUCCCAGGACAAUGUGUGGUGGGAGCACCUGCUGCUGAAGUUCCUGAACAUGACACUGAAGAGCAUUGAUGACGAUGCCUGGAGCAGUCAGCUGAGCCUGGAGCUGCAGCACCAGACAGCCAGUUAUGCCUGCUCCUCCCCGGAGAAGGUGCGUGCUCUUGGCAGCGGCUGGGUUUCUGCAGCUGUUUGGUGGUGCUGUGGCAGGAGGCUGCAGAGAGUUUCUCUCCACAGUUUGCGCUUUUCCGUUCUAUUUUCUUGAUCAAAAGCAUUGUCCUUGGUCGUCUGCUCUCUUCACUGACCCGAAGGGAGAGCUUACUGGGGCUCUUUCUCUGUCUUUAGCUGCCAUUUUCCUGCAGAGUGGGGCCAGUUAUUCGGUGUGUGGGUGCUGGGGCUGGACUCUCUUGGUCCUUCCUAGGGAUGGGUGUGUUUCUGGGCCGUUCUUGUCCUGACCAGCAGGCUGCUGUGUUCCCAGCUCUUUGGUGAUGGUGGUCUCCUUCUUUCAGAGUUUCCUAUAUAAGGCACUUGGUACCACUUUGGCCUCUUGCCAGGAUGUUGCCCAUGUGAAAUCCCAGCUCCAGAAAUCUCUGAAGGGCACAGAUUACAUGAACGCUUCUGAGAGAGAGGUGAGGACCCUGUUCUCUCCAGACAUAUCAGGUCCUCCCGUGUCCUCACUUCUCUGUUGCUUUGUGUCUCGGGUUUGUUUGCUUCCUGGCCUUCCCUUGUCCUUUCCCUCAGACAGCCCCCUGACUUGUUGCGGGUCGGACGGGCAGUUCUAGUAUCAGGGAGAUGGGGAGGACUCUGGGGUCUGUCAGCCAGACAGCCCUGCUCACUCCCCAGUGCGUUUCUUGGCUUCCAGCACGUUGUGACCAUCCUGGCAUUCUCGGCCAAGGGCCACCUGGACCUCACCCUGGGCACAAUGGAGGACUUUGGUGUGGCUCUGAGUAAAGUGCAGGUGUCUGGCAUAGUCGGCCGCCUGCAGGUAAUGGAGCUGGGGGGUUUCUCGCACUUCCUUCCCCAAGAAACCCUUGAGAAGCGCAGCUUGGCGGUGGCUCCUCUCCCUGGUAAUGCCCUCUCCCAGGGAACAUGCUCCACAUCAGGUCUCCAGUGAUACAGAGGGGAACACAGUUUCUACUACUCAGGUUUUUCAUGUCCCAGGUUAAUGAGUCAACAAUUAACCAGCCCCUUUCAGGCACUGAGGCAACUACAUCUGAUGUUCACCCAGAGAAAGAGAUUGUGUCUUUCUCACAUCUUUCAGUUAGUCAUGGGAGAGGAGACAUGAGCCCUGUUGCCCAGCCUCAAAGUACCAGCUCCGAGUGCAUAAUCCACAUGCCCCAAAUGCUGUAAAAUGGGCCCUAAGGUUCUCCUCUAGGGCUCACCCAGCCCAGCGGAGCCGCCACCAUGGCUGAGCUGAGCACCUCAGCGCUCACAGGUGUUUGGGUCCAGGCCGCAUCCAGCAGGGCGUUCACGGUGCCCCAAACACCUGCCGAGAGCUUCAGCUUCAGCUUCUGCGCAAAGCACAACAGGCAGAGCCACCUCCUUCACACGGACAGACCUGCCGCAGCCUUCCUGAUGCAUUGUGCCCAGGGACUCCUUACUGCCAAAUACAUGAGGCGGCCCUGGGCACAAUGCAUCUGCUGCCCCAGUUCCUGUGGGUCACAAACUCUCCCCCGCCCCUGCCCCGACUUCCACGGCUCAGAGUGGCACUGCAGCUCUCUCUGCCCGAGUCACCCAGGCUGCAGGACAGAGAAGAUGAGGCAUCUGAAACAAAGCACUGAUGAUGGUGCUGUCAGAGCUGUGGGUCUCCUGUGAGUGGCAGGGAGAGCCGGUAUUGCUGCUGGGCAACUCCUUGGUCAGCAGUGACUCCUACUUGGGGGGCAGAAGGCAUGGGAAGCCCUGGUGUGAGUGUCAUGUCACCCUGUGCAGGACUAUCACCAAGGGAAAAGAGCCAGGACCCACAGGGCCUUGAUACUGGCCUACGGCCGAAUUGCUGUCCAUGCCCCCCGAACACAGCUGCUCCCCUGCGUGGAGCAUAAUCUCACCAGGAAGGUCCUGCAGUAUUACAUGACCAGCUGCCAGGUGCUUGGCAUCAACUUUGUCAAUAAGGUAAAUGUUCAAUGACCCCACCUCUGCCUGUGCUCUUCCCAGACCCCACCUGCAGGAGGCACAACGACCUUCCCCAGGCGGGAGUCCCUGCUGCUGGACCUGAGCAGGAUCCUGGGGCAGUAGCCAGCACAGCCCUGGCUCUGUUUAUGGGUCACCUGGGAGGGCAUCUGGUGGGUUUGUGGGGGGAAGCUCUCUGCUUCCC